UGGGGAGUCGUCCAACGGCAGGACUCAUGACUCUGGAUCAUGCUAUCGGGGUUCGAAUCCCUGCUCCCCAGCCA
RNAcentral lists this transfer RNA (74 nucleotides) under bacterium. RNAcentral describes it as "tRNA-Gln". It matches the Rfam family "tRNA". Rfam says of the family: Transfer RNA (tRNA) molecules are approximately 80 nucleotides in length. RNAcentral also lists the same sequence under 3 other names. The record is from RNAcentral.